GCUCGGUUACCUCUGCCUGUUUCCGGACCACAUUGUCGGGGCUGAGCAGGUUUCCCAGGAGUAGUUUUCCGAGUUGAGUCUCAGGGAUUUGAAGACAUGGUACAGCACUUUCUGAGCGUGUUCCUCGCUUAGGAAUUUCCUUUCCCUGCUGGCUGGACAUUAAAUAGAUUUGUGAACCUUUAGAAGAAAUGGACAAGCUGAUCCUAGAAUUCGUAUGAGUUGCAAGAGACUACAAAGAACCAAAAGAAUCUUGAACAAAACAAAAUUGGAGGACUCACACCUUGAUUUUUAAGCUUACCACAAAGCUACAAUAAUCAAAACGCUGUGCUACUGGC
Lagenorhynchus albirostris (white-beaked dolphin) is the source of this 335-nucleotide long non-coding RNA. RefSeq lists it as uncharacterized. The transcript is spliced from 3 exons. The record is from RefSeq and is a predicted model, not a curated record. NCBI's taxonomy places the organism in Eukaryota, Metazoa, Chordata, Mammalia, Artiodactyla, Delphinidae.